This 323-nucleotide ribosomal RNA is filed under the name uncultured bacterium. Its description in RNAcentral is "bacterial SSU rRNA". It matches the Rfam family "Bacterial small subunit ribosomal RNA", at positions 202 to 507 of the family's 1533-position model. The record is from RNAcentral.
CGGGGGAUCUUCGGACCUCGCGCCAUUAGAUGAGCCUAGGUCGGAUUAGCUAGUUUGGUGAGGUAAUGGCUCACCAAGGCGACGAUCCGUAACUGGUCUGAGAGGAUGAUCAGUCACACUGGAACUGAGACACCGGUCCAGACUCCUACGGGAGGCAGCAGUGGGGAAUAUUGGACAACUGGGCGAAAGCCUGAUCCAGCCAUGCCGCCGUGUGUGAAGAAGGUCUUCGGAUUGUAAAGCACUUUAAGUUGGGAGGAAGGGUAGUAACCUAAUACGUUGCUACUUUGACGUUACCGACAGAAUAAGCACCGGCUAACUUCGUG